CUGAAAUCAGGCGGGACUACCCGCUGAACU
RNAcentral lists this ribosomal RNA (30 nucleotides) under Absidia cylindrospora. RNAcentral describes it as "partial 28S ribosomal RNA". Lineage: Eukaryota; Fungi; Mucoromycota; Mucoromycetes; Mucorales; Cunninghamellaceae. The record is from RNAcentral.